GACGAACCGAGCGAACGUUGUUCGGAAUCACUGGGCUUAAAGGGCGCGUAGGCGGGCUGUCAAGUCUGGGGUGAAAUCCCGCGGCUCAGCCGUGGAACUGCCUCAGAUACUGACGGUCUCGAGGGAGGUAGGGGCGAGCGGAACUGAUGGUGGAGCGGUGAAAUGCGUUGAUAUCAUCAGGAACUCCGGUGGCGAAGGCGGCUCGCUGGACCUCUUCUGACGCUGAGGCGCGAAAGCCAGGGGAGCAAACGGG
RNAcentral lists this ribosomal RNA (253 nucleotides) under uncultured bacterium. RNAcentral describes it as "partial 16S ribosomal RNA". It matches the Rfam family "Bacterial small subunit ribosomal RNA", at positions 524 to 776 of the family's 1533-position model. The record is from RNAcentral.